This is a long non-coding RNA of Oxyura jamaicensis (ruddy duck), 223 nucleotides long. RefSeq lists it as uncharacterized. The transcript is spliced from 2 exons. The record is from RefSeq and is a predicted model, not a curated record. Lineage: Eukaryota; Metazoa; Chordata; Aves; Anseriformes; Anatidae.
CUUAAAUUCUGCAUAAAGGAUUCUGCUUGGAAACCCCUUCCUGCAAAUUCGGAUGCCUUCUAGAACCCCAUUGCACCGCAGCUGAUGCAUCACUAAGACUGUUCAGCUGGAUAUGAAAUAGUUCUGUGAUCUCCUUGAAGGUGUAAGGCUGUGAACCUCUCUAUUACUUUUAGCUCUACCAGUUCACCUAAACAAACAAUACUCUGUCUCCAAAGACUAUAAA